This 672-nucleotide ribosomal RNA is filed under the name Triticum aestivum (bread wheat). Its description in RNAcentral is "partial small subunit ribosomal RNA". Lineage: Eukaryota; Viridiplantae; Streptophyta; Magnoliopsida; Poales; Poaceae. The record is from RNAcentral.
AUGGCCCACAUGAGUUAUGGGUCAAGAGAUUACUACCAGGGAGAGGCGAGCAUGGAAGCGGAAGCACCAGAGAUGUCCCACCUCGUCGCGAAAGCAGCCGACAUGUCCUGUCGCGUCGCCGUAGCAGCACAAAGGUCCCACCAUGCUGCCGAAGCAGCACAGAGGUCCCGCCGCGCCGCCGAUGCAGCAGACUGGUCCGGUCGCACCGCGGAAGCAACAAAGAUGUCCCUCGGCACCGUGAAUGCAGCAGAGAGGUCCUCCCACACCGCGAAGGCCUGGGAAAAUGUCUCGCAGGCAGGCGAGGACUCUCACAGGCGCAUGCGCACUAUGCUCGAUGACCUGAUGGAUCGGAUCUCCGGCUGGAUGAAGCUGCAGGACGAGAUAAAUGCCUUGUUUGAAAAUGCUACCGGCGUCAUCCGGGGACUAGGGAAGGACAAGGCGAAGGUCCGCAUAGAGCGCGACUUGCUGAGGGCAAAGAUUGCCGGAAGGGUGAAGGAGCACGAGGAGACCACUGCCUUGUUGAAGAGGACGGGAGUCAUCGUCAAGAAACUGAUGGACGAGAAUGCCAUGCUCCGCAUGGAAUGCGAAAGGCUAGUGGAGCAAUCAUUGGAUGCUGCCACACAACAUAUUGAGGACAUGAAAGAGAUCAUCGCCGCUCACUGCGAGAACUAG